This 640-nucleotide ribosomal RNA is filed under the name Echinocyamus pusillus. RNAcentral's name for it is "partial 16S large subunit ribosomal RNA". It matches the Rfam family "Bacterial large subunit ribosomal RNA", at positions 1799 to 2647 of the family's 2925-position model. Lineage: Eukaryota; Metazoa; Echinodermata; Echinoidea; Clypeasteroida; Fibulariidae. The record is from RNAcentral.
CCUGUUUACCAAAAACAUCGCUCUUUGAUUUUUAAACAUAAAGAGUACUGCCUGCCCAGUGACAUUAUAGGUUAAACGGCCGCGGUAUCUUGACCGUGCGAAGGUAGCAUAAUCAUUUGUCUCCUAAAUAGAGACUGGUAUGAAUGGCAAGACGGAAUUUAACUGUCUCCUCUUUUUAUUUUCGAAUUUUUCUUCCUUGUGAAGAGACAAGGAUACUUUCGUUAGACGAGAAGACCCUGUCGAGCUUGUAACUAAAAGUUAGUUCUUUAAAAAUUUUUAAUUCUUACUAAUAAGCUAAUUUUACAAAAAGUUAAAAAUAAAUUAUCUUUCGUUAGUUUUGGUUGGGGCAACCGUGGAGAAGAUUAACCCUCCAUUAAUUUUAUUUAAUUAAGAUUUUAUAAAUCUAUUACUAUAAAUAAGUUCGACUGAUCCACUCAGGUGAUCAAAGGAAAAAGUUACCGCAGGGAUAACAGCGUUAUCUUUUUUGAGAGUUCAUAUUGACAAAAAGGUUUGCGACCUCGAUGUUGGAUCGGGACAUCCUAAAGGUGCAAAAGCUUUUAAGGGUUGGUCUGUUCGACCAUUAAAGUCCUACGUGAUCUGAGUUCAGACCGGCGAGAGCCAGGUCAGUUUCUAUCUACGA